AUGGUAUGCUGGAAUGUUAGGGGACUAAAUAGCCCUGCGAAACGGAAAGCACUUAGGGAGUUUGUAGCCUCGAUUCAUACUGCCAUCAUGUGUAUCUUAGAGACUAAGUUGGAGGUGGUUGAUCAGUUUGUAAUAAUGCAAUGCCUUGGUCCAGCGUAUGAUGGUUUCUUUUAUCUUCCGGCCUCUGACACCCGUGGAGGUAUUUUCGUGGCGUGGGACUCUACUAAGGUGCAGUUGACAAAUUUUGUCAACGACACAAACUUCAUCACGGGUUAUGUCACCCCGGUAGAAGGGUCGGCCUGGUGGCUGACGGUGGUGUAUGGGCCAUAG
This 330-nucleotide ribosomal RNA is filed under the name Triticum aestivum (bread wheat). RNAcentral's name for it is "partial small subunit ribosomal RNA". Lineage: Eukaryota; Viridiplantae; Streptophyta; Magnoliopsida; Poales; Poaceae. The record is from RNAcentral.